RNAcentral lists this ribosomal RNA (207 nucleotides) under Carebara urichi. Its description in RNAcentral is "partial large subunit ribosomal RNA". Lineage: Eukaryota; Metazoa; Arthropoda; Insecta; Hymenoptera; Formicidae. The record is from RNAcentral.
GAAUUUUAUAUAAAAGUUUUAGGAUUAUUAGAUUAGGUUAGGGCUUUUAUAUUUAGUUGGGAUAAUUGUUAAAUUUAGGGAAUUUUAACUUUUAGAGAUAAAGAUUAAUGAAGGUAAAGGAAUGAUUUUUAGAUUAAGGAAGAAUUAAUUACCUUAGGGAUAACAGCGUAAUAUUUUUGGUGAGAUCAUAUCUAUGAAGAUGUUUGC